This 806-nucleotide ribosomal RNA is filed under the name uncultured bacterium. RNAcentral describes it as "bacterial SSU rRNA". It matches the Rfam family "Bacterial small subunit ribosomal RNA", at positions 8 to 796 of the family's 1533-position model. The record is from RNAcentral.
AGAGUUUGAUCCUGGCUCAGAAUGAACGCUGGCGGCGUGCUUAACACAUGCAAGUCGUGCGCGAAGGUGGCUUCGGCUGCCGGAGAGCGGCGAACGGGUGAGUAACACGUGGGCAAUCUGCCUAGGGGUGUGGGAUAACCUGGGGAAACUCGGGCUAAUACCGCAUACGUUGCCGGGACCUUGGUCCUGUCAAGAAAGCUGGCCUCUGUUUACAAGCUAGCGCUCCUAGAGGAGCCCGCGGCUGAUUAGCUAGUUGGUGAGGUAAUGGCUCACCAAGGCGACGAUCAGUAGCCGGCCUGAGAGGGUGAUCGGCCACACUGGAACUGAGACACGGUCCAGACUCCUACGGGAGGCAGCAGUGGGGAAUAUUGGACAAUGGGCGCAAGCCUGAUCCAGCAACGCCGCGUGGAGGAUGAAGGUCUUCGGAUCGUAAACUCCUGUCAGAUGGGACGAACGAGCGUCGGCAAAUAGCCGGCGUUCUUGACGGUACCAUCAGAGGAAGCCCCGGCUAACUCCGUGCCAGCAGCCGCGGUAAUACGGAGGGGGCAAGCGUUAUUCGGAAUUAUUGGGCGUAAAGGGCGCGUAGGCGGCUUGACAAGUCAAAGGUGAAAUCCCUCGGCUCAACUGAGGAACUGCCUUUGAAACUGUCUGGCUUGAGGCCGGGAGGGGAGCGGAAUUCCCAGUGUAGCGGUGAAAUGCGUAGAUAUUGGGAGGAACACCAGUGGCGAAGGCGGCUACCUGGACCGGUUCUGACGCUGAUGCGCGAAAGCGUGGGUAGCAAACAGGAUUAGAUACCCUAGUAGUCC